CUUACGGCUGCCAGCGCUGCGUCCCUCCGCCCCUCCUGCUGGACUAUGUCUGCUCUCUCCAAAACACAACAAAAAUACGCCCAACUAGUCUGUCUGACGGCUGGUCAAGGAUGACGUUGUCAAGGUGCUGCUGUGGCGGCAAAUCAUGUCAGGUUGAGUGAAAAGUGCGCGUGCCAACCGCAGUUUGACAAGUUGACGACAGAAAUCUCCUCAGAGUUAACAGUCCAGGAGCUCAGAAACACAUAUAACUUAGUUAACUCAAGACGAACGGAAGGAGUAUACUGUACUGUACGCCGGAAUGGACACUGAUAACGCUGUAACCAUAGCAGCCCAGAAAGAGAAGUUCAAGUUUGCCCCUCCUGUAGCCAAGUCCGGGAAGAUGGGAGGAGAGGAGAGAAAGGGAGAGGGGGGUGGGAGGAAGACGGAAGCAGAGCCAGGAGAAGGAGAGAACCAGAAGAGGCGACCAUGUUCACUGAAGAAAGGAGAUAAGCCACAAGGGAAGAAGAGGGUGUCACUAAAAGAGAAGAGUUCAGGUGCUGGAGUGAGAGGUGGAAAGAGAGGAUGUGAGGGGAAGAAAGAGGAGACAGAGGGGCUGACAGUGAAGAAGUUAAAGAAGAAUGGAGAGAGAAAGAAGAGUAAAAGAGAAGGGAAAAA
Long non-coding RNA from Osmerus eperlanus (European smelt), 654 nucleotides. RefSeq lists it as uncharacterized. NCBI's taxonomy places the organism in Eukaryota, Metazoa, Chordata, Actinopteri, Osmeriformes, Osmeridae. The record is from RefSeq and is a predicted model, not a curated record. The transcript has 4 exons.